Molecule: non-coding RNA, 361 nt
Organism: Cinara cedri
Lineage: Eukaryota; Metazoa; Arthropoda; Insecta; Hemiptera; Aphididae
Source: the annotation of a GenBank genome assembly
ACGUUCCUAAACAAUGGAAACAAGCCCAAGUGAUCAUGCUACCAGGAAAACCAUCAGAACAAGUAACUUCAUACAGACCAAUUUCGCUUCUUCCAAACAUCUCAAAAUUAUUCGAAAAACUACUAAAAAAACUUAAAACCAUUUAUAGAAGACAGUAAAAAUGGGUGCAUGUUAAUUAUACCUAUAAACCAGAAUUGCUAGAUCAGCAAAUCAUCCCACAGUGUGACUCAGCAAAAUAUCUAGGAAAGCACCUGGACUCUCGGCCUAACUUGAAGAACACCACGUUAGAAAGUAAAAACUAAAAAAUUUAGAAAAAAAUGCAACUACAUUGAUUGGUCGGAAGUUAUUCUGUUCUUGAGCU